Long non-coding RNA from Aethalodelphis obliquidens (Pacific white-sided dolphin), 2891 nucleotides. RefSeq lists it as uncharacterized. NCBI's taxonomy places the organism in Eukaryota, Metazoa, Chordata, Mammalia, Artiodactyla, Delphinidae. The transcript is spliced from 2 exons. The record is from RefSeq and is a predicted model, not a curated record.
ACCAGGGCUCGAACCUGUGUCCCCUGCAUUGGCAGGCGGAUUCUUAACCACUGUGCCACCAGGGAAAUCCCAAUAUCUGCAUCUUGAACGAUGAGCUCCUCAGAUUCCUUCCUUCCUUCUCCCCUCCCUUUCCCAGAAUUUUGGCAGCCAGGCCAAAGAUUUGGAAUGUCCUCUCUGGAAAACCUGUCCCAAAAGAAAAGACUCACAAAUACUGGAGAUUCACCAACUACAAGUUAGUCUCAUUGCAGAUUACUCUAUGUUGAAGGUCUCCAGUCAUCAAGAUAGAUGAAUAUACAUAAAGUUUCCAAUCUACCUAGAAUAUAUAUAUGAGAUCAUUUAAACACAGAAACGUAUAGACAAAUUAAUAAAAAUCCACGUUCCUGACCCUCAGACUUAACAGAUAUUUGCAUUCAAUCAGAUAUUCAGUUCUUCACAUUAACAUAAAUGAGAGAAUAAAACAACAAACAACAGAAAAAGGAAACAAAGGGGGAAAAAAUGCAGAAAAUCAAACUCACUUUCAUUAAUAUUCUUGGAUAUGAGAUGAUAUUGUACCCAAAAAGCAAGAUAAGGAUGUCAUAAAAAAAAGAAAUAAAGAAUGAGAUAGGAUUCUCUAAAAUAAAAACUGUCAACUGAAAUAAAAGUUUCAAGAGAAUUAGAAGAUAAAAGUCAAGGAAAUCUUCCUGAAAGUAAAACACACACAAAAAAGAGUGAGAAAUGGAAAAUGGGAGGAAAUGAUAAGAAAUUUAGAAGGCCAAUCUAAAAGCCAAAAUUUGAUUAGUUGGAGGUCUAGAGAAAGAAAAUAGAGAGGAAAGCUGAAGGAAGGUGGUUAUCGAAGAGAGAAUAUAAGAAAACUUACUAGAAUUGAGAGAUUUUAGUCUCCAGAUUGAAAAGACCUAGCACGAAAAACAAAAAACUACCUGCACCCAGGAAUGUCAUCAUGACAUUUCAGAAUUCCAAAGAUAAAUGAUUUAAAAAAAAAAAAAAAAACAGAGAAAAAGCAGGUCACAUACAAAAGAAUCAAGGACCUGAAUGAUUUAAAUGUUCCUAAGGUAAUACCGAGACCUCGAAAACAAUUCUGAGUGAAAAGGAUAUUUUAUGUAGAAUUCUAUACUCAUUCAAAUUACCUGUUAAAUGUGAAAUGAUGUAUUCAAAUAUGCAAAGAGGUAAAUGUUUCAUUCCCUUACUCGCCUUCUCAGGAAUCUAUUGGAGGAUAUAUUCUAGCAAAAUGAAAAAGUACACCAGGAAAGAGGGAGACCUGAGAUCCUGCAGGGCGGUGCCGCUGGCCUAGGAAGCAACCGAUCUCGAGUGGACUGAGGACGUGGUCUCCAGAAACGCAAGUGGGAGAAAUAAUAUUGAUAGGUGAUGGAUGUUACAGAGCUGAUGGAGCAUGUGAAAAGAAUGAGGAAAGGGACCAGGCUGUCUGAGAGCAGGGAUAAAAUCUGCCCGGUUUGCCACUGGAUCUCCAGUGCCUAAGUGUUCCUGGCACAUAGAAGUUGCCCAGUAAAUCAUGUUAAAGGAGUGAGUGAAUGAACGCAUAAACGAGAGUUGAUGAAGCUUCACGUAUGUGCUUUGAGCCAGGCAAUACAGCAGACACCUAGAAAUACAGGAUAAAUGUAAUUUUAAAUGCAUAGCAAAAUUCUCAAGAAAGCAAGGACAACUGAGGGACAAACAGGUUACUUAGAAAUCAUAUUGCAGGGCUUUAAUUUGCAGAUGUCCAGAGAUGCCACUGCUCCUUCUCCUCCCUGCUCAGUGAAAUCAGGGCUGCAUUCCCAUCACCCCAUCAGGAAAGCUCUUGCCGAGGUCAGAGCGAUGCUGAAUCUGAGAUGUUGACUCAUUAAUUUCACUCCUUCCUGAAACACCUCCUUCACUUGGAUCCCAGGACACUGCUCUCUGCCUCCCUCACUUGCUCUCCUCAGUCUCAGAGCCAGUGUCCUCUUCAUCUUCCUUUUUUUUUUUAAUGGAUUAUAGUUUAUUUACAAUGCUGUGUUAGUUUCAAGUGUACAGCAAAGUGAAUCAGUUAUACAUAUAUCCACUCUUUUUUAGAUUCUUUUCCCGUAUAGGUCAUUACAGAGUAUUGAGUAGAGUUCCCUGUGCUAAUCUGAUUUCAGCUAAUCCUGAGUUAGGACACGUACUCCAUGAGGUAUGUGUUGUUGUCUGCAUUUGGCAAGUGGAUAAAUACAAGCUCAGCAAAUUAUGUAACUUGUCAGAAUCACACCAGCAGAAAGGAAAACUCAGGCCCAUUCCCAGAUUGGAAUAUCAGUGGAAUUAUUGGACAGUCUGUCUCAGCAACAAAAGCAAAGCUGUAGGAGCCUCAGCUAAUUCGUUGACUUGAUUCACAGAAAAGACAUUGGACAAUUUCUACAGUUUUGCUUGGUUAUUUGCUGUCGUUUGGGCCCAGAUGAUACCAAGGCCAUCUGAAAUGUUUAUUCAGGCGAGUGUGGUUCUGAAUGGUGUGAAAAACAAGUAGCACAAAAAUCUCUUUUUUAGAAAACAAUUUGAAUAAAGUCAUUUUUAAAGGAUUCUGAAGCUUAAGUCAUGAACAUAAACACCACCAUUUAAAAGCAAGAGAUGAAAAGGCUAAUGAAGCUUCAGUUUAAAGACAUCUUAGUGAUGGUGAAGCUUAAUUAGAAGAAAUUUUACAAAAUGAAAAAUAUGGAAUAAUGAAAAUAAUGAAACAUGUUGAUUAUUUGUUACUUCUUUCCUAAUAUUAUUUAAAAUACUAUUUAGAGUCAAAAUGUUUUAUUUGUUUAAAACAUGUAUUAUUUACUUGAAAAAAAAGUGUAUCAACUAACAAAAUACCCAACUUAUAAGACGUGUAGUUUGAUUUACUGUGUUCACUAUUGACCAAAACUUAAAAUUCUAACUUCCCGAAAUAAAUAUUUCAUGAGUUA